Molecule: ribosomal RNA, 484 nt
Filed under: Nodosilinea foveolarum HNBGU-001
Lineage: Bacteria; Bacillati; Cyanobacteriota; Cyanophyceae; Nodosilineales; Nodosilineaceae
Description: bacterial SSU rRNA
Rfam family: Bacterial small subunit ribosomal RNA
Source: RNAcentral
ACGGUCGCUAAUACCCAAUAUGCCGAGAGGUGAAACUUAUAUGGCCAGAGGAUGAGCUCGCGUUUGAUUAGCUAGUUGGAGUGGUAACGGCACACCAAGGCGACGAUCAGUAGCUGGUUUGAGAGGAUGAUCAGCCACACUGGGACUGAGACACGGCCCAGACUCCUACGGGAGGCAGCAGUGGGGAAUUUUCCGCAAUGGGCGAAAGCCCGACGGAGCAAGAACGCGUGAGGGAGGAAGGCCUACUGGUUGUAAACCUCUUUUGAUAGGGAAGAAGAAAGUGACGGUACCUAUCGAAUCAGCAUCGGCUAACUCCGUGCCAGCAGCCGCGGUAAUACGGAGGAUGCAAGCGUUAUCCGGAAUUAUUGGGCGUAAAGCGUCCGUAGGUGGUUAUUCAAGUCAGCUGUCAAAGGAUGGAGCUUAACUCCAUAAAGGCAGUUGAAACUGUGUAGCUAGAGUGCGAUAGGGGCAAGGGGAAUUCCCA